AUUGAACGCUGGCGGCAUGCCUUACACAUGCAAGUCGAACGGCAGCACGGGUACUUGCUCCUGGUGGCGAGUGGCGAACGGGUGAGUAAUACAUCGGAACAUGUCCUGUAGUGGGGGAUAGCCCGGCGAAAGCCGGAUUAAUACCGCAUACGAUCUACGGAUGAAAGCGGGGGACCUUCGGGCCUCGCGCUAUAGGGUUGGCCGAUGGCUGAUUAGCUAGUUGGUGGGGUAAAGGCCUACCAAGGCGACGAUCAGUAGAUGGUCUGAGAGGACGACCAGCCACACUGGGACUGAGACACGGCCCAGACGCCUACGGGAGGCAGCAGUGGGGAAUUUUGGACAAUGGGCGAAAGCCUGAUCCAGCAAUGCCGCGUGUGUGAAGAAGGCCUUCGGGUUGUAAAGCACUUUUGUCCGGAAAGAAAUCCUUGGCUCUAAUACAGUCGGGGGAUGACGGUACCGGAAGAAUAAGCACCGGCUAACUACGUG
Molecule: ribosomal RNA, 486 nt
Filed under: uncultured bacterium
Lineage: Bacteria
Description: partial 16S ribosomal RNA
Rfam family: Bacterial small subunit ribosomal RNA
Source: RNAcentral